RNAcentral lists this unclassified non-coding RNA (229 nucleotides) under Hevea brasiliensis (rubber tree). Lineage: Eukaryota; Viridiplantae; Streptophyta; Magnoliopsida; Malpighiales; Euphorbiaceae. The record is from RNAcentral.
GUACAAACUGCCUCUGAUAGUUCUUCAGUCUAUUUGCUACCGUCUUUCUCUUGCCUACUCAUAUCUUUAAUUAGUUUGUGUUUAAAAUCAUAUCUUAUGGUAGGCCAAGCAGCUGCCUUAAAACCUUUUAAUGUUGCUAAUGAAGUUGGUUGUGCGAAAAAUGUCACCCGUGUACUAAUGCAGGAGUAACAGAAAAGUGGUUGAUUUGGUAUCUUUAGGGAUAGUGUGC